CCAAUAGCGUAUAUUAAAGUUGUUGCAGUUAAAAAGCUCGUAGUUGAAUUUCGGGAUCAAUAUAUCGGUCGUGCCUUGGUACGUACUGGUAUCAUUGGUUUCUCCUUUCUGACGAACCAUGAUGUCAUUAAUUUGGUGUUACGGGAAGUUAGGACUGUUACUUUGAAAAAAUUAGAGUGUUUAAAGCAGGCUUUAGCUUGAAUACAUUAGCAUGGAAUAAUGAAAUAGGACGUUCGAACCUAUUUUGUUGGUUUCUAGGAUCAACGUAAUGAUUAAUAGGGAUAGUUGGGGGCAUUAGUAUUCAAUUGUCAGAGGUGAAAUUCUUGGAUUUAUUGAAGACUAACUACUGCGAAAGCAUUUGCCAAGGAUGUUUUCAUUAAUCAAGAACGAAAGUUAGGGGAUCGAAGACGAUCAGAUACCGUCGUAGUCUUAACCAUAAACUAUGCCGACUAGGGAUCGGAUGAUGUUAAUUUUUUAAUGACUCAUUCGGCGCCUUACG
Molecule: ribosomal RNA, 499 nt
Filed under: uncultured Glomeromycotina
Lineage: Eukaryota; Fungi; Glomeromycota
Description: partial small subunit ribosomal RNA
Rfam family: Eukaryotic small subunit ribosomal RNA
Source: RNAcentral